This 458-nucleotide ribosomal RNA is filed under the name uncultured bacterium. RNAcentral describes it as "partial 16S ribosomal RNA". It matches the Rfam family "Bacterial small subunit ribosomal RNA", at positions 355 to 830 of the family's 1533-position model. The record is from RNAcentral.
UGGGGAAUAUUGCACAAUGGGCGAAAGCCUGAUGCAGCAACGCCGCGUGAGUGAUGAAGGUCUUCGGAUUGUAAAGCUCUGUCUUUUGGGACGAUAAUGACGGUACCAAAGGAGGAAGCCACGGCUAACUACGUGCCAGCAGCCGCGGUAAUACGUAGGUGGCGAGCGUUGUCCGGAUUUACUGGGCGUAAAGGGUGCGUAGGCGGAUGUUUAAGUGAGAUGUGAAAUACCCGGGCUUAACUUGGGUGCUGCAUUUCAAACUGGAUAUCUAGAGUGCAGGAGAGGAGAAUGGAAUUCCUAGUGUAGCGGUGAAAUGCGUAGAGAUUAGGAAGAACACCAGUGGCGAAGGCGAUUCUCUGGACUGUAACUGACGCUGAGGCACGAAAGCGUGGGUAGCAAACAGGAUUAGAUACCCUGGUAGUCCACGCCGUAAACGAUGAGUACUAGGUGUAGGAGGU